This 72-nucleotide transfer RNA is filed under the name Moxostoma macrolepidotum (shorthead redhorse). Its description in RNAcentral is "tRNA-His". It matches the Rfam family "tRNA". From Rfam's summary of the family: Transfer RNA (tRNA) molecules are approximately 80 nucleotides in length. Lineage: Eukaryota; Metazoa; Chordata; Actinopteri; Cypriniformes; Catostomidae. The record is from RNAcentral.
GUAGGUAUAGUUUAAUUUAAAACACUAGAUUGUGGUUCUAGAAAUGGGAGUUAAAAUCCCCUUACCCACCGA